UACAGAGGGUGCGAGCGUUAAUCGGAAUUACUGGGCGUAAAGCGUGCGUAGACGGUUAUUUAAGUCGGAUGUGAAAGCCUCGGGCUCAACCUGGGAAUUGCAUUCGAGACUGAAUAGCUAGGGUACGGUAGAGGGAAGUGGAAUUUCCGGUGUAGCGGUGUAAUGCGUAGAUAUCGGAAGGAACAUCAGUGGCGAAAGCGACUUCCUGGACCAGUACCGACGUUCAGGCACGAAAGCGUGGGGAGCAAACAGG
This 253-nucleotide ribosomal RNA is filed under the name uncultured bacterium. Its description in RNAcentral is "partial 16S ribosomal RNA". It matches the Rfam family "Bacterial small subunit ribosomal RNA", at positions 524 to 776 of the family's 1533-position model. The record is from RNAcentral.